AGCCACUGUAGCUUUUCAGAAGGAGCUGUUGUGCUCAAAGUUCAAACAGUAUCAUGUUUUUCUUAAAACAAGUCCAGCCCACCUACAUUAUGUCCAUCUGCAACUGACACGUGAUAUUCUACUGUAAACGCUCACAAAUCAACAAUGUCCAGUCAGUUCAAGUACACUUGCAACCCAACAAUUUCCACAAAAGAAAGCUCUUCCCAUCUAAACACCUCAUACCAGAGAGUGAACAUCAAGACGGGGUUAAUUCAAAGUCAAAGAAACUUCAGUGCUGACAAAACUGCAACUUUCGAGCCAAACUGUGUGGAAUGACAACAUUACAAUGGGAUGCUGGUAUUUAAUCUCAAAUGUUUCCAUUCAUCAAUCUAAAGGAAGGAGUUUUAUCUACACAACAAAAGACACUGAAGUGUCUCCGCUCAAUUGCCAUGGUGAAACAUGCCCGGUAAAACACCACUUCCCACAAACUCGCACUCACUGCAGAUAUAAUUGGCGAACUCUGCAGAUCUCUAUUAAUUAAUGUUCCAGUAAAUUCUACCACACUGCAGCCUCUAACUCUCACCAUACGCCAGGACGUACCUCAAAUAACACGAUCACCAUCUCCUGCACAGUACAAAACCUUUCUUUUUUUUUUUGUAUUCCAAAAUAAUUUUACUUCAACACGUUUUUAUUGUUGCACUGUUUGUUCACUACUAAAAUUGCACAAUUUUUACAAUCAUGAAGGCACUUGUACACACACUGCAUGCCUACACAUUUAUGAGCAUCUGCAUUUUAAAGACACACUUGCAAUGCACACACUUUACUUACUAAUGUGUGUAUGUUUACAAACUUGACUGUAAAUAUUACCUUGAAUUAUUAAAUUGCUGUAUUUUAUAUUCUGUACUGUUGUAAAAUGUCUAAU
Long non-coding RNA from Triplophysa rosa, 901 nucleotides. RefSeq lists it as uncharacterized. Lineage: Eukaryota; Metazoa; Chordata; Actinopteri; Cypriniformes; Nemacheilidae. The transcript is spliced from 3 exons. The record is from RefSeq and is a predicted model, not a curated record.